ACUCAAAUGAAUAGACGGGGGCCCGCACAAGCGGCGGAGCAUGUGGCUUAAUUCGAUGCAACGCGAAGAACCUUACCUAGGCUUGACAUGCUAGUUAAAGCCUGUGAAAGCAGGUGUCCGUAAGGGGCUAGCACAGGUGCUGCAUGGCUGUCGUCAGCUCGUGCCGUGAGGUGUUGGCUUAAGUGCCGCAACGAGCGCAACCCCUGCUCUUAGUUGCCAGCGAGUUAUGUCGGGGACUCUAAGAGGACUGCCGGGGACAACUCGGAGGAAGGUGGGGAUGACGUCAAGUCAGCAUGGCCCUUAUGUCUAGGGCUGCACACAUGCUACAUUGCGCGCCACAGAGGGCAGCGAUCCCGCGAGGGGGAGCGAAUCCCAAAAAAGCGCGCCUGGUUCGGAUUGGGGUCUGCAACUCGACCCCAUGAAGUCGGAGUCGCUAGUAAUCGCAGAUCAGCAACGCUGCGGUGAAUACGUUCCCGGGCCUUGUACACACCGCCCGU
This 497-nucleotide ribosomal RNA is filed under the name uncultured bacterium. Its description in RNAcentral is "partial 16S ribosomal RNA". It matches the Rfam family "Bacterial small subunit ribosomal RNA", at positions 899 to 1397 of the family's 1533-position model. The record is from RNAcentral.